This 1459-nucleotide long non-coding RNA is filed under the name Ananas comosus (pineapple). RNAcentral's name for it is "long non-coding RNA (ACOM_LNC015109)". The record is from RNAcentral. Lineage: Eukaryota; Viridiplantae; Streptophyta; Magnoliopsida; Poales; Bromeliaceae.
GUGUACCGGUACACAGCUCUGCAAAAUGCAAUCCGAGAGCAGGCUAAGUCCUCCACUUUGGUGACCUUAGCGCUACUUUAAAUACUUUAAUUCUUGGAAUACGAGCCAUAGGUCGAAACACUGUCAACGACCCUCCAGAAUAUCUGAAAAAACUCGAAACACAGAUCAAACACUCGAACCUCGCAAUUUGCAAAGAUCCAGUGUGUUACAGCUAAAUAAAAAUAUUGUUAAAUAAAGAAAUAAAAGAUAAAAGUUAAGUGUUGGUGAACCAAACCAAAUAGCCAAAACUCUCACGAUCCGACUCAUGCUUGUGCCGUGCGCGAUAGCGUGAAUAGUGGAUAGCACCGACCUCUUGGCCACCUAAGAAACUGACCAGAGGAUAAUGGAGUAUAUUAAAAUAUAUAUACACUUCUUGUAAGUUUGUCAUUUGUGAGUAAACUUAUAAGUAAUAAAUAGUACACAAGAUCCCACCUAAGGCCCAUUGGUGUUGGACUACCUAAAAAGGUCCUAUGCCAAAAUAAAAUUUUAAGAGUAGUGCUUCUAUACUUGUUAUUUUUCGCUAUCAUUCAUUCACUCCUCUUCAAAAGCUCAGAUUUUAAUUUUUUUAAAAUUGAGACCUACAAUAGCAGGUUAUUUUGGGUGAGGUACCGAUUACCAGGUAAAUCGAAGAAAAAUAUUUUUGCCUUUUAAUAUAUGAAUAAUUUAGUAAUUUUAUCUCUACUAUAUUAUCAAAAUCUUUAUUCUCUCUUUAUUUUCUUUUUCUCUUUUUUUCUUUCCUUACAAAUUCAACAAAUUCAAUAAUUUUUAAGGAACUAAAAUUUAAAAAAUUGACUAAAAACUGAUAAAUUUUAAAGGUAAAUCAAAAUCAAUUUACUAAAUCAAAAUAGUAACGACCCAGCCAACUAGCAACAAUAACUCGUUGGACCCAAACACCAGCCCAAAUGCUUAAGGCCAGUUAAGGCCCUGACGUUCUCGUCAGUCCAAUCACACACACAGCCCAAGAUUAUCAGGCAAUGUGAGACUCGUCUCGCUAGCCUUGUUGACAUAGCUUAUCACAUUAUCUUUCAAACCGUGGCUCAGUCGAGAUUCGUCACACAUUUCCGGCUGAUGAACUGAUUCUGAUACCAAAUGUAACGACCCAACCCACUAGCAAUAAUAACUCGUUGGGUCCAAACACCGGCCCAAAAUGCUUAAUCCCGGUUAUUAUUACUAGUGUCUAAGUCUCUUAUAUACCCAAUCACAUCCCCAUUAACAUCCGAUGUGGGAUUAUUAGAGUGUGACAAUUAAACUAAUCAAACUGAUAAACUAUAUAAAUAACUUAGAUUCGUUCAAUAUAAGUUUAUUUAAUUUAUCUAUAGUCUUAAUUUUGUUUACUCCAGUAAAACUCUAUGGUGAAGAUUUAUUAUAAGCUUAAAAUUUAAAUUAUACGGUCUGAAUUUAUUUAUUAGUAAGUUUAAAU